AAUCCAUUCAUUGGACAUUUUCAUAGCAAGUCUUUGAAUCUCUCUCAUGCCUCAUACAAAUUCUCAUCUUCUAGUUGCUUGAAAUAUGUCAAAUCAUUUCGUAACU
Hibiscus syriacus is the source of this 106-nucleotide small nucleolar RNA. NCBI's taxonomy places the organism in Eukaryota, Viridiplantae, Streptophyta, Magnoliopsida, Malvales, Malvaceae. The record is from RefSeq and is a predicted model, not a curated record.